Molecule: small RNA, 310 nt
Filed under: Histoplasma capsulatum
Lineage: Eukaryota; Fungi; Ascomycota; Eurotiomycetes; Onygenales; Ajellomycetaceae
Also listed under: 1 other name
Description: hypothetical RNA
Source: RNAcentral
CAAACAGGCCGGUCCUGUCAGCCAACGAACUCCAUGGCUGGGAAGUGGGCAGUCCACUGGCCCCGCCUCUCUAGCCUGCUUCGGGCAUUGGCGCCAGGUACCUAAAUUUUAAACUGGGCCCACUCAGGGGCAUCUUGGACAAGGCAGCUCGUAUUCGUCCUGGCUGGCGUUGGGACGGGAUCAGAGGGCGAAGAGAUCUGGCGAGUAAUAAUCUUGAGUCGUUUUCUUUUUUAUGAUCUGGUUGUUCGCCGGUUCGCUGUUCUUGUUGCAGGGACCCCUUCGGCCCUGAUUAUGGAUUGUUGAAUGCACC